UCUCUGGUGGUCCAGUGGUUAGGACUCACUGCUCUCAUUGCCAUGGCCCAGGUUCAAUCCCUGGUCAGAAAA
This 72-nucleotide transfer RNA is filed under the name Muntiacus reevesi (Reeves' muntjac). It matches the Rfam family "tRNA". Rfam says of the family: Transfer RNA (tRNA) molecules are approximately 80 nucleotides in length. Their secondary structure includes four short double-helical elements and three loops (D, anti-codon, and T loops). Further hydrogen bonds mediate the characteristic L-shaped molecular structure. tRNAs have two regions of fundamental functional importance: the anti-codon, which is responsible for specific mRNA codon recognition, and the 3' end, to which the tRNAs corresponding amino acid is attached (by aminoacyl-tRNA synthetases). tRNAs cope with the degeneracy of the genetic code in two manners: having more than one tRNA (with a specific anti-codon) for a particular amino acid; and 'wobble' base-pairing, i.e. permitting non-standard base-pairing at the 3rd anti-codon position. The record is from Rfam by way of RNAcentral. RNAcentral also lists the same sequence under 6 other names. Lineage: Eukaryota; Metazoa; Chordata; Mammalia; Artiodactyla; Cervidae.